Molecule: ribosomal RNA, 253 nt
Filed under: uncultured bacterium
Lineage: Bacteria
Description: partial 16S ribosomal RNA
Rfam family: Bacterial small subunit ribosomal RNA
Source: RNAcentral
UACAGAGGUCUCAAGCGUUGUUCGGAAUCACUGGGUGUAAAGGGUGCGUAGGCCGCACGGUAAGUCAGAGGUGAAAUCCCGGAGCUCAACUUCGGAAUUGCCUCCGAUACUGCCGUGCUUGAGGACUGGAGAGGAGUCUGGAAUUCACAGUGGAGCAGUGAAAUGCGUAGAUAUUGUGAGGAACACUAGUGGCGAAGGCGAGACUCUGGACAGUUCCUGACGCUGAGGCACGAAGGCCAGGGGAGCAAACGGG